AAAAAAGUAAAUAAGGGCACAUGGGGGAUGCCUAGGCUCUCGAAGGCGAAGAAGGACGUGAUAAGCUGCGAAAAGCUUGGGGGAGGAGCAAAUAUCCAUUAUAUCCCAAGAUCUCCGAAUGGGGCAACCCGGCGGUUGAAGAAACCGUCAUCUGGUCUAACCAGAAGCAAACGUGGGGAACUGAAACAUCUAAGUACCCAUAGGAAAAGAAAACAAAAGUGAUUCCCAGAGUAGUGGCGAGCGAAAUGGGAUUAGCCCAAACCAAUAAUGUUUCGGCAUUAUUGGGGUUGUAGGACUGCGUCGUGGCAAGAAGUUAGAGUAGUAGAACGAUUUGGAAAGAUCGAUCACAGAGGGUGAUAAUCCCGUAUACGAAACCCUAACCAAGCCUAGCAGACUCCUGAGUAGUGCGGGACACGAGAAAUCCUGUAUGAAUCCACCGGGACCAUCCGGUAAGGCUAAAUACUUCCGAGAGACCGAUAGUGAACCAGUACCGUGAGGGAAAGGUGAAAAGAACCUCGAACAGAGGAGUGAAAUAGACCCUGAAACCAUGUGCCUACAAGCGGUCGGAGCCAGUAAUGGUGACGGCGUGCCUUUUGCAUAAUGAACCUACGAGUUACUCUCAUUGGCAAGGUUAAGUACUAUAAGGUACGCAGCCGAAGCGAAAGCAAGUCUUAACAGGGCGCUUAGUCAAUGGGAGUAGACGCGAAACCAAGUGAUCUACCCUUGAGCAGGUUGAAGGUUGGGUAACACCAAUUGGAGGACCGAACCGGUAAGCGUUGAAAAGCUUUCGGAUGACUUGAGGGUAGGGGUGAAAGGCUAAUCAAACUUGGAGAUAGCUCGUACUCCCCGAAAUGCAUUUAGGUGCAGCCUCGGCUUAUAACUUAUGUCAGGUAGAGCUACUGAUUGGAUGCGAGGGCUUCGCCGCCUAUCAAGUCCAGAUAAACUCCGAAUGGGCAUAAGUUUUUACCGGGAGUGAGGGCAUGGGUGCUAAGGUCCAUGUCCGAGAGGGAAAGAACCCAGACCAU
Molecule: ribosomal RNA, 1025 nt
Filed under: Parabacteroides sp.
Lineage: Bacteria; Pseudomonadati; Bacteroidota; Bacteroidia; Bacteroidales; Tannerellaceae
Description: partial 23S ribosomal RNA
Rfam family: Bacterial large subunit ribosomal RNA
Source: RNAcentral